This is a long non-coding RNA of Brachypodium distachyon (stiff brome), 494 nucleotides long. RefSeq lists it as uncharacterized. NCBI's taxonomy places the organism in Eukaryota, Viridiplantae, Streptophyta, Magnoliopsida, Poales, Poaceae. The transcript has 3 exons. The record is from RefSeq and is a predicted model, not a curated record.
GUGCAGCCUAUGGAUCCAAUGCUGUUUUUUUCAUGGAAAGAGAUGACCCCUCUAACGUACCAACAAGCGUGUCGUCAAAGCCAAAGGAGACUAAAAGCGUCAGCAGAUGCUGGCCGGCUUGAGAUCAACCUAGCAGUGAAAGGAGGAUGCAGGCAAGAAGCACAAGAGAUUAAUCAGGUGGGGAAGAAAGCAACAUGACAGGAAUCAAUGCUAGCUAACUAAAAAUCUGAUCUGCCAGACAAGCAAAGGAGAUUUCUUGCUGCUUUUGUUUAUGGAGGAGGGACGACUAGCUAGAUAGGAUGUACAGCAGAGAUGCUUCUAGCUAGAGGUACCACCCCAAUGUGUCUGUGUGUGCCCUCUGGCUGCUACUGUUCUGGGUUUAUGUUUCUGCAUGUACAGUGCUAGUGCAUGAGAAGAAAAUGAGGUUACUUAAUCAAGGGGAAAAGGGUUUUCAAAAAGGAAGUGUGGUCGCUUGCUCCACAUCCCAUGCAGGG